RNAcentral lists this ribosomal RNA (235 nucleotides) under uncultured bacterium. RNAcentral's name for it is "partial 16S ribosomal RNA". It matches the Rfam family "Bacterial small subunit ribosomal RNA", at positions 104 to 334 of the family's 1533-position model. The record is from RNAcentral.
CGGGGUAGAGUAACGCGUGAGGAACCUGCCUCAAAGAGGGGGACAACAGUUGGAAACGACUGCUAAUACCGCAUAAGCCCACGGCUCGGCAUCGAGCAGAGGGAAAAGGAGCAAUCCGCUUUGAGAUGGCCUCGCGUCCGAUUAGCUAGUUGGUGAGGUAAUGGCCCACCAAGGCGACGAUCGGUAGCCGGACUGAGAGGUUGAACGGCCACAUUGGGACUGAGACACGGUCCAA